Molecule: ribosomal RNA, 406 nt
Filed under: uncultured bacterium
Lineage: Bacteria
Description: partial 16S ribosomal RNA
Rfam family: Bacterial small subunit ribosomal RNA
Source: RNAcentral
AUUGAACGCUGGCGGCAGGCCUAACACAUGCAAGUCGAGCGAGUGGCGGACGGGUGAGUAAUGUAUGGGAAUCUGCCUGAUAGAGGGGGAUAACUACUGGAAACGGUGGCUAAUACCGCAUACUAUCGGAUGAACCCAUAUGGGAUUGGCUAGUAGGUGGGGUAAAGGCUCACCUAGGCGACGAUCCCUAGCUGGUCUGAGAGGAUGACCAGCCACACUGGAACUGAGACACGGUCCAGACUCCUACGGGAGGCAGCAGUGGGGAAUAUUGCACAAUGGGCGCAAGCCUGAUGCAGCCAUGCCGCGUGUAUGAAGAAGGCCUUAGGGUUGUAAAGUACUUUCAGCGGGGAGGCGUUACCCGCAGAAGAAGCACCGGCUAACUCCGUGCCAGCAGCCGCGGUAAUAC